ACUCCUGCGGGAGGCAGCAGUGGGGAAUUUUGGACAAUGGGCGCAAGCCUGAUCCAGCCAUGCCGCGUGCGGGAAGAAGGCCUUCGGGUUGUAAACCGCUUUUGUCAGGGAAGAAAAGGUUCUGGCUAAUACCUGGGACUCAUGACGGUACCUGAAGAAUAAGCACCGGCUAACUACGUGCCAGCAGCCGCGGUAAUACGUAGGGUGCAAGCGUUAAUCGGAAUUACUGGGCGUAAAGCGUGCGCAGGCGGUUAUGCAAGACAGAGGUGAAAUCCCCGGGCUCAACCUGGGAACUGCCUUUGUGACUGCAUGGCUAGAGUACGGUAGAGGGGGAUGGAAUUCCGCGUGUAGCAGUGAAAUGCGUAGAUAUGCAGAGGAACACCGAUGGCGAAGGCAAUCCCCUGGACCUGUACUGACGCUCAUGCGCGAAAGCGUGGGGAGCAAACAGGAUUAGAAACCCCUGUAGUCCCAUG
RNAcentral lists this ribosomal RNA (473 nucleotides) under uncultured organism. RNAcentral describes it as "partial 16S ribosomal RNA". It matches the Rfam family "Bacterial small subunit ribosomal RNA", at positions 335 to 799 of the family's 1533-position model. The record is from RNAcentral.